UACGUAGGGUGCGAGCGUUGUCCGGAUUUAUUGGGCGUAAAGGGCGCGUAGGCGGUCACGCACGUCCGUUGUGAAAUCGCUCGGCUCAACUGGGCGGGGUCAGCGGAUACGGCGUGGCUGGAGCAAGCUAGGGGGCAAUGGAAUUCCCGGUGUAGUGGUGGAAUGCGUAGAUAUCGGGGGGAACACCAGUGGCGAAGGCGGUUGCCUGGAGCUUUGCUGACGCUGAUGCGCGAAAGCGUGGGGAGCAAACAGG
RNAcentral lists this ribosomal RNA (253 nucleotides) under uncultured bacterium. RNAcentral's name for it is "partial 16S ribosomal RNA". It matches the Rfam family "Bacterial small subunit ribosomal RNA", at positions 524 to 776 of the family's 1533-position model. The record is from RNAcentral.